This 484-nucleotide ribosomal RNA is filed under the name uncultured bacterium. RNAcentral describes it as "partial 16S ribosomal RNA". It matches the Rfam family "Bacterial small subunit ribosomal RNA", at positions 30 to 507 of the family's 1533-position model. The record is from RNAcentral.
AUUGAACGCUGGCGGCAGGCCUAACACAUGCAAGUCGAGCGGAUGAAGGGAGCUUGCUCCUGGAUUCAGCGGCGGACGGGUGAGUAAUGCCUAGGAAUCUGCCUGGUAGUGGGGGAUAACGUCCGGAAACGGGCGCUAAUACCGCAUACGGCCUGAGGGAGAAAGUGGGGGAUCUUCGGACCUCACGCUAUCAGAUGAGCCUAGGUCGGAUUAGCUAGUUGGUGGGGUAAAGGCCUACCAAGGCGACGAUCCGUAACUGGUCUGAGAGGAUGAUCAGUCACACUGGAACUGAGACACGGUCCAGACUCCUACGGGAGGCAGCAGUCGGGAAUAUUGGACAAUGGGCGAAAGCCUGAUCCAGCCAUGCCGCGUGUGUGAAGAAGGUCUUCGGAUUGUAAAGCACUUUAAGUUGGGAGGAAGGGCAGUAAGUUAAUACCUUGCUGUUUUGACGUUACCAACAGAAUAAGCACCGGCUAACUUCGUG